This 774-nucleotide ribosomal RNA is filed under the name uncultured Neocallimastigales. Its description in RNAcentral is "partial large subunit ribosomal RNA". It matches the Rfam family "Eukaryotic large subunit ribosomal RNA", at positions 22 to 643 of the family's 3401-position model. The record is from RNAcentral. Lineage: Eukaryota; Fungi; Neocallimastigomycota; Neocallimastigomycetes; Neocallimastigales.
UAGAUGCGAGAGUAGAGCAUAUCAAUAAGCGGAGGAAAAGAAACUAACAAGGAUUCCCUUAGUAACGGCGAGUGAAGCGGGAAGAGCUCAAAUUUGAAAUCUUCAAGGUUUUACCUUGACGAAUUGUAGUUUAAAGAAGUGUUUUCUGUUGAAGUUUUGGUAAAAGUUCUUUGGAAUAGGACAUCGUAGAGGGUGAGAAUCCCGUAUUUGACCAUUAUUUUCAGCUGUGUGAUACACUUUCAAAGAGUCGGAUUGUUUGGGAAUGCAGUCCAAAAUGGGUGGUAAAUUUCAUCUAAAGCUAAAUAUUGGCGAGAGACCGAUAGCGAACAAGUACCGUGAGGGAAAGAUGAAAAGAACUUUGAAAAGAGAGUUAAACAGUACGUGAAAUUGUCAUAAGGGAAGCGUUUGACACCAGUGUUGUUUUCUCGAAAAUCAAUUAAAAAUGAUGGGAUUUUGUGUUGUAUUGACUUUAUCAGCUUUCUGCACUUUUUUCUUAUCUUUUUUAAUGCACUUUUCGUUUAACAAGUCAACAUCAAUUUCUUUUGUUGUAAAAGAGUCAUUGGAAGGUGGCUUUCUUUUCGGAGAAAGUGUUUAUAGCCUUUGACUUCUGCAAUCGGAGAGAUUGAGGUCUGCAGCGUAGAUCCUUCGGGGUUAGAUGCAUUUGUGCUAAGUUAUAGCCUUUCAUAGACAACUUGUUGACUAUGAUCAGUCAUGUAGCUUACUCGCUUAUGCCAUUUUACCUACGCUUAGGAUGUUGACACACGCGCGUGCUCG